UACGUAGGGGGCAAGCGUUGUCCGGAUUCAUUGGGCGUAAAGAGCUCGUAGGCGGUUCGGCAAGUCGGGUGUGAAAACUCCAGGCUCAACCUGGAGACGCCACCCGAUACUGCUGUGACUUGAGUCCGGUAGGGGACCACGGAAUUCCUGGUGUAGCGGUGAAAUGCGCAGAUAUCAGGAGGAACACCGGUGGCGAAGGCGGUGGUCUGGGCCGGCACUGACACUGAGGCACGAAAGCGUGGGGAGCAAACAGG
This 254-nucleotide ribosomal RNA is filed under the name uncultured bacterium. RNAcentral describes it as "partial 16S ribosomal RNA". It matches the Rfam family "Bacterial small subunit ribosomal RNA", at positions 524 to 776 of the family's 1533-position model. The record is from RNAcentral.